CAAGCGGUGGAGCAUGUGGUUUAAUUCGAUGCAACGCGAAAAACCUUACCUGGUCUUGACAUCCACGGAAGUUUUCAGAGAUGAGAAUGUGCCUUCGGGAACCGUGAGACAGGUGCUGCAUGGCUGUCGUCAGCUCGUGUUGUGAAAUGUUGGGUUAAGUCCCGCAACGAGCGCAACCCUUAUCCUUUGUUGCCAGCGGUCCGGCCGGGAACUCAAAGGAGACUGCCAGUGAUAAACUGGAGGAAGGUGGGGAUGACGUCAAGUCAUCAUGGCCCUUACGACCAGGGCUACACACGUGCUACAAUGGCGCAUACAAAGAGAAGCGACCUCGCGAGAGCAAGCGGACCUCAUAAAGUGCGUCGUACUCCGGAUUGGAGUCUGCAACUCGACUCCAUGAAGUCGGAAUCGCUAGUAAUCGUGGAUCAAAAUGCCACGGUGAAUACGUUCCCGGGCCUUGUACACACC
Molecule: ribosomal RNA, 465 nt
Filed under: uncultured bacterium
Lineage: Bacteria
Description: bacterial SSU rRNA
Rfam family: Bacterial small subunit ribosomal RNA
Source: RNAcentral